GCUGGUGUAGCUCAAUCGGUAGAGCAACUGACUUGUAAUCAGUAGGUUGAGGGUUCAAUUCCUUUCACCAGCUCCA
Molecule: transfer RNA, 76 nt
Filed under: Tissierella creatinini
Lineage: Bacteria; Bacillati; Bacillota; Tissierellia; Tissierellales; Tissierellaceae
Description: tRNA-Thr
Rfam family: tRNA
About the family: Transfer RNA (tRNA) molecules are approximately 80 nucleotides in length.
Source: RNAcentral